AGAGUGAACGCUGGCGGUAGGCCUAACACAUGCAAGUCGAACGGCAGCACAGGAGAGCUUGCUCUCUGGGUGGCGAGUGGCGGACGGGUGAGGAAUACAUCGGAAUCUACCUUUUCGUGGGGGAUAACGUAGGGAAACUUACGCUAAUACCGCAUAAGACCUUCGGGUGAAAGCCGGGGACCUUCGGGCCUGGCGCGGAUAGAUGAGCCGAUGUCGGAUUAGCUUGUUGGCGGGGU
This 236-nucleotide ribosomal RNA is filed under the name uncultured soil bacterium. RNAcentral's name for it is "partial 16S ribosomal RNA". It matches the Rfam family "Bacterial small subunit ribosomal RNA", at positions 26 to 258 of the family's 1533-position model. The record is from RNAcentral.